This 497-nucleotide ribosomal RNA is filed under the name uncultured bacterium. RNAcentral describes it as "partial 16S ribosomal RNA". It matches the Rfam family "Bacterial small subunit ribosomal RNA", at positions 28 to 507 of the family's 1533-position model. The record is from RNAcentral.
GAUGAACGCUGGCGGCGUGCCUAAUACAUGCAAGUCGAGCGAACAGACGAGGAGCUUGCUCCUCUGACGUUAGCGGCGGACGGGUGAGUAACACGUGGAUAACCUACCUAUAAGACUGGGAUAACUUCGGGAAACCGGAGCUAAUACCGGAUAAUAUAUUGAACCGCAUGGUUCAAUAGUGAAAGACGGUUUUGCUGUCACUUAUAGAUGGAUCCGCGCCGCAUUAGCUAGUUGGUAAGGUAACGGCUUACCAAGGCAACGAUGCGUAGCCGACCUGGGAGGGUGAUCGGCCACACUGUAACUGAGACACGGUCCAGACUCCUACGGGAGGCAGCAGUAGGGAAUCUUCCGCAAUGGGCGAAAGCCUGACGGAGCAACGCCGCGUGAGUGAUGAAGGUCUUCGGAUCGUAAAACUCUGUUAUUAGGGAAGAACAAAUGUGUAAGUAACUAUGCACGUCUUGACGGUACCUAAUCAGAAAGCCACGGCUAACUACGUG